UUGCCCCUGGGGUGUACGAUACGGACGCACGCACUCCGACCGACAAUGUUUGUUUAGGGAGCCCACAUCCGGUCGCACCGCAGUAGGCGAAAGCCGCUGCGGGACGGAGCGACCGGAAACCAAGCACCCACCUGGUUAUCCGGGUUCGAGUGACACGUUCGAACGGCACCACCGGGGGCACG
RNAcentral lists this non-coding RNA (182 nucleotides) under Candidatus Dadabacteria bacterium. Its description in RNAcentral is "6S RNA". It matches the Rfam family "6S / SsrS RNA". From Rfam's summary of the family: E. coli 6S RNA was the first non coding RNA to be sequenced, but its function was unknown until recently. It consists of 184 nucleotides that fold into an extended hairpin structure with a large single-stranded internal bulge. The record is from RNAcentral. Lineage: Bacteria; Pseudomonadati; Thermodesulfobacteriota; Candidatus Dadabacteria.